GGUCAUGCAUCUGUAGGAAUCUACCCGAAGAUAUUAUGACACGAAGAACUGCGGCACAGAAAUCAGUAUUACUGAUCUCAGAUAUAGUCUGGGUUGCCAAAGAACAAAAGAAUUCCGCAACAACCGUUCUGAACAGUUCAUACGCUUUGAGAGUGGACAUUAAAGGACAUGGAUUCGCUAGAUAUUGUCUGCAUAUCAAAACAAACGUUACUAUGCAGCUCAAUUGUUCGUCUGGUGUUGUUGCUUUGGUAACAACACGGCAUCCUUAACUACAUCAACCGCUUCAACACAGACGACACCAUUGGUAACAUCAUCACCAGCAACGUCUUUAACACCAUCAGCAUCAACAUCAACAUCAACACCAACAUCAAUAGCACCAUCACCAUCAACAACAACAUUAGCAUCUUCUCUUAUGUAUUCAACAUCAACAGCUACAACUACAUCUUCAACGAAGGCACAUACCCGAACAUCAGCACCAGAGACAGAUCCUGCAGUAACGUCCAGUCCAGGGUCUAGUGUUUCAGCGAUAGCAUCAGACAAAACAACAACACACGAGACAGACCCUGUAGUAACGUCCCGUCCACGGCCUAUUGUUUCAUUAACAUCAUCAGCCAAAGACAACGCAGAAAGCAUCACUUCAAAUACAUCACUUCCAUUAACGAGUGCUCCAGAAACAACUGCCAGCGUGCUGGUGACGACCAAACAAGGGGCAAAGAACCAACCCUCAACACCAUCAUCCCAGCCGUUAGCUUCAUAUACAGUACCAUCGUUUACAACACUAGCACAGGAGACUUCUAAAAGUACUCCUAAUUCAGAUAACAACACUCGCCCCGAUGCCAAUUCUCAGGCUACAGCUUUCCUGUGCUUGGGUUAGCAGUCGGACUGUUAGCAGGGAUAUUACUUGUACUGGUCAUCACGGGUACUGUGCUGUUUUGCAGAACCUUGCAGCUCGGAUCUCUCACUCAAGUAUGCUGACCCCGAGUUAAACUCGGAUCCCUCACUCAGGGAUGCUGAUGCUGAUGCUGAGUUAAACCAGGAUCAAACUGAGAUGAUGCAAACACUAGUCACUAAGCAGGGAAGGAUUGCUCUAAGCGUAUGACGUAUUGCCCACCCGGUGGAAGGAAAGGUUCUACACAGGGACUCUAUCGAUUGUAAGGAAUUUUACAAGUCUACCAGGCAGAGGAGGGCAGUUUUAUUUGAACCCUAUAAUUGUGGCAUUGGACUUGUCUCGUGCAGGUCUGUUUGAUGGAAUAUGUGUAAUUUGGAAUUGAUGUUUAUUUAAACACUAUAGUCACUUUUGUCAUUGUGUGUUUGCACAACGUUGGAAGACAACCUAAGGUGACACAGAUUGAUAAAACAACCGUGAAGUUGACAGUUCAGUGGAUAUUAACCUGGCGUUUGGUUCCUGAACCGUCAAACGAUGGAUCUUGGAUCAGCUUACCUACUCACAGAAACAUACAGUGCCUCCAUGCAAUGUCGGUGUCGUCGUCGUACUCCAGAGCUCAAGUCUAGGCAUUUGGGUACGAAGGGAUCCUGGUUCACCUAGAAAGAUAAAGCGCCAUCAUCCGGUGGUCAUCUUGUUGUCGCACUUUACAGAAGAACUCCUGUUAUUUGGGACGAGGGAUCCUGGGCCA
Long non-coding RNA from Haliotis rubra (blacklip abalone), 1634 nucleotides. RefSeq lists it as uncharacterized. The record is from RefSeq and is a predicted model, not a curated record. Lineage: Eukaryota; Metazoa; Mollusca; Gastropoda; Lepetellida; Haliotidae. The transcript has 4 exons.